This 455-nucleotide ribosomal RNA is filed under the name uncultured Alphaproteobacteria bacterium. Its description in RNAcentral is "bacterial SSU rRNA". It matches the Rfam family "Bacterial small subunit ribosomal RNA", at positions 9 to 509 of the family's 1533-position model. The record is from RNAcentral. Lineage: Bacteria; Pseudomonadati; Pseudomonadota; Alphaproteobacteria.
GAGUUUGAUCCUGGCUCAGAGCGAACGCUGGCGGCAGGCCUAACACAUGCAAGUCGAACGGAUCCUUCGGGAUUAGUGGCGGACGGGUGAGUAACACGUGGGAACGUGCCUUUUGGUUCGGAACAACUCAGGGAAACUUGAGCUAAUACCGGAUGUGCCCUUCGGGGGAAAGAUUUAUCGCCAUUAGAGCGGCCCGCGUCUGAUUAGCUAGUUGGUGAGGUAAAGGCUCACCAAGGCGACGAUCAGUAGCUGGUCUGAGAGGAUGAUCAGCCACACUGGGACUGAGACACGGCCCAGACUCCUACGGGAGGCAGCAGUGGGGAAUCUUGCGCAAUGGGCGAAAGCCUGACGCGGCCAUGCCGCGUGAAUGAUGAAGGUCUUAGGAUUGUAAAAUUCUUUCACCGGGGGACGAUAAUGACGGUACCCGGAGAAGAAGCCCCGGCUAACUUCGUGCC